AUUGAACGCUGGCGGCAUGCUUUACACAUGCAAGUCGAACGGUAACAGGCCUUCGGGUGCUGACGAGUGGCGAACGGGUGAGUAAUGCAUCGGAACGUACCCAGAGGUGGGGGAUAACGCAGCGAAAGCCGUGCUAAUACCGCAUGUGAUCUGAGGAUGAAAGCGGGGGACCGAGCAGCAAUGUUUGGCCUCGCGCCUUUGGAGCGGCCGAUGUCGGAUUAGCUAGUUGGUGGGGUAAAGUCCUACCAAGGCGACGAUCCGUAGCUGGUCUGAGAGGACGACCAGCAACCUGGGAAUUAGAAAACGGCCCGACCUCCUAGGGGGGGCAGAGUUGGGAAAUUUUGGACAAUGGGGGAAAGCUUGACCCGGAAAUGCCGCGUGGGGGAAGAGGGCCUUGGGGUUGUAAACCGUUUUUGGCAGGAAGGAAACGGUGUCCGCUAAUACCGGGCGCUAAUGAGGGAACCUGCAGAAUAGGCACCGGCUACUACGUG
This 491-nucleotide ribosomal RNA is filed under the name uncultured bacterium. Its description in RNAcentral is "partial 16S ribosomal RNA". It matches the Rfam family "Bacterial small subunit ribosomal RNA", at positions 29 to 507 of the family's 1533-position model. The record is from RNAcentral.